Molecule: non-coding RNA, 249 nt
Filed under: Bacillus cereus
Lineage: Bacteria; Bacillati; Bacillota; Bacilli; Caryophanales; Bacillaceae
Description: T-box sequence
Rfam family: T-box leader
About the family: Uncharged tRNA acts as the effector for transcription antitermination of genes in the T-box leader family. T-boxes are found upstream of many aminoacyl-tRNA synthetase genes and some amino acid biosynthetic genes usually in Gram-positive bacteria.
Source: RNAcentral
GGAAAAGCGACGAGAAGGAGAAGUAGAAAAUCAGGCUUUUUACAGAGAGAACCACCUUUAGGCUGGAAGUGGUUUAUAAGCGGAUUUUUGAAAUGCCCCUUCGAGUCUUCUGCUGAACAACGAAUUGUUUCGUGAAAUGUCUUAGGGCGUAAAGUAAGCAGAAGCGGUGUACACCGUUAUCAUGGAUGAGUUUGAGGCUUUUUUAUUAGCCUAAACAGAGUGGAACCGCGCUUAAAAGGCGUCUCUGUC